AGUAAAACGCUUGCCGAGGUGGGGCGUCCGUUUGGCUGUGCGGGAUGUAUCAAGUUCGCAGUCACGUCCGGUCAGAAGGGAGACGUUAAAUCCGAUGCCUCGUGUAAAGAGAGUGCCACUCUCUUUGCACGUUAAGAACCCUUGCAACAACUCUUUGAGGGGUCCGUAGGUGGCCUGUUGCAAGGCAAAAUUUCUGUCCCUAUCCAAUAUACCCUCAUUUUCCAGUGGCAGUCCAAAUUUCCCCAACCAUCAUCCCAGAUGGCCUCUAUUGUAUCAACCUACCUAUUGUAUUUAUUGUGGACUUGUUCUCGUCCUGAAUAUGCAUGAAAUAUUUGCCACUGGACGUUAAGCAACC
RNAcentral lists this long non-coding RNA (355 nucleotides) under Mytilus galloprovincialis (Mediterranean mussel). The record is from RNAcentral. Lineage: Eukaryota; Metazoa; Mollusca; Bivalvia; Mytilida; Mytilidae.